GUCGGCCGGAGGAGAAUCUGACGGUGAGAGUGGGGGUGGGGAGAAAGAAAAGUAUGAUGGACCUGCCGUAAUAAUGAAUAAUUAAUAAUUAACGGUGUUUGUGUGUCACCGACCCGUGUGUGGAGCGUGUGCGUCGGCCGGGUCGGGGUUGAUGACUUCGUCGGUGCGGACGUACGGGAUGAAGUCGAGGACGGGCGACUGAGCGUGCGGCGUGGCGGGAGAGGAUCGCCCCCUGGUGGUGGACAAGAUGCUUUGGUGGGGACCUCAGGCUUCUCCAGCUCGCUGAACAGACCUCCAUUGGACCUGAUAAACGACGCCAUUAUUAUAAGCGUGACUAUACUAGCGUUUGGUAGCAGGAUUACGCAAAAACAGGAAACAACUGCCUCUUACAAGUGUUCUUUACCGUCACGACCGAGGACCUUGUGCGCUUCUACAGUGUGUUGGUCGUGGCUGGAGGUUUGGACGCCGUUCAGUCGCGCAUGCUUGUUGUUCAGACACGCCACGCCGUCUCUCGGUCUUUCGUCGUCAGCAGCCUGCGGGUGCUUCGGUCCUGCCUUAACGCCGCCUUGCGUCCUCCCGGUGGUACCGCUGGCAGUCAGGGGUCCUGUGGAGGAGCUGCAUUUGUGCCUGUCUGACUUCACCUUACACACACACACAGAAGGUUAGGUAUUGGAUGCAGCCCAGCAGUCUUUUAAUAUGAAAACACUUCAACUAAAUCGUCAACUUCAACAGAGAAGAGAAAAGGACAAGGGAGAGUUGACAGAAAUAUCCUCCAGAUCAGUGGUUCUAAACCUUUUUUCAGUGAUGUACCCCCUGUGAACAUUUUUUUAAAUUCAAGUACCUCCUAAUCAGAGCAAAGCAUUUUUGGUUAAAAAAAAAAAAUAGAUAAAGAAGUAAAAUACAGCACUAUGUCAUCAGUUUCUGAUUUAUUAAAUUGUAUAACAGUGCAAAAUAUUGCUCACUUGUAGUGGUCUUUCUUGAACUAUUUGGAAAAAAAGAUGAAAAAUAAACCAGUGAUUUAAUUAUAAAUAAAGAUUUCUGGGUAACACAAGGCAUAUUGACAGAGCUUAAACCAUUGUUACUAUAACAAUCUACAAGAUUAAUAUAGGUUGCCUCUCUCUCUUCCCUUUCAUCUUUCGGUAUUCCUUCUUCUUUUUUUAUUUUUUUUUAUUUUUUAUUUAUUUAUUUUUUUAUUAUCUUUCUAGCUAUCAUUAUGUAUACGUAUCGUUGCAUUUGAACAACUUUAUUGUUGAUAAUAGAGGUAAUCUAUUGGUUUUGUUCAUGAUCAGUAGCGCUUUUUCUCUUGGUAUUUGUAUUGCUCCAGUUUUAGUUUAAAAAUGCUCAGUCAUUACUAUAUUAUUUAUUUCACUAACUGCUUAUUUGCUA
Nerophis ophidion (straightnose pipefish) is the source of this 1386-nucleotide long non-coding RNA. RefSeq lists it as uncharacterized. The transcript has 3 exons. NCBI's taxonomy places the organism in Eukaryota, Metazoa, Chordata, Actinopteri, Syngnathiformes, Syngnathidae. The record is from RefSeq and is a predicted model, not a curated record.